RNAcentral lists this ribosomal RNA (254 nucleotides) under uncultured bacterium. RNAcentral describes it as "partial 16S ribosomal RNA". It matches the Rfam family "Bacterial small subunit ribosomal RNA", at positions 524 to 776 of the family's 1533-position model. The record is from RNAcentral.
UACGUAGGGAGCAAGCGUUGUCCGGAAUCAUUGGGCGUAAAGCGCGCGUAGGUGGUCCCGUAAGUCCGCUGUGAAAGUCAAAGGCUCAACCUUUGAAAGCCGGUGGAUACUGUGGGACUAGAGUACGGAAGAGGCGAGUGGAAUUCCUGGUGUAGCGGUGGAAUGCGCAGAUAUCAGGAGGAACACCAAUAGCGAAGGCAGCUCGCUGGGACGUUACUGACACUGAGGCGACGAAAGCGUGGGGAGCGAACAGG